GGGCCGGUAACUCAGUGGUAGAGUGUAGGACUGCAGUUAUCGUCUGUUUUCCCGAAGUCACCGGUUCGACUCCGGUUCGGCCCU
This is a transfer RNA of 84 nucleotides. It matches the Rfam family "tRNA". Rfam says of the family: Transfer RNA (tRNA) molecules are approximately 80 nucleotides in length. Their secondary structure includes four short double-helical elements and three loops (D, anti-codon, and T loops).